RNAcentral lists this ribosomal RNA (272 nucleotides) under uncultured bacterium. RNAcentral's name for it is "partial 16S ribosomal RNA". The record is from RNAcentral.
CUGCUGCCUUCCGUAGGAGUCUGGUCCGUGUCUCAGUACCAGUGUGGGGGACCUUCCUCUCAGAACCCCUACGCAUCGUCGCCUUGGUGGGCCGUUACCCCGCCAACAAGCUAAUGCGACGCAUGACCAUCCGUAGCCGGAAUCGCUUCCUUUAAACCCACAGAGAUGCCUCCAUGGGUUGUUACGCGGUAUUAGACGGAAUUUCUUCCGCUUAUCCCCCUGCUACGGGCAGGUUUCAUACGUGUUACUCACCCGUGCGCCGGUCGCCCGGG